GCAUUCGGGGUGUAACGGUAGCGCACUCGGCGCGUGAGCGAGAGGUCCAGGUUCGAAUCCCGGCGAGGGUA
Stegodyphus mimosarum is the source of this 71-nucleotide non-coding RNA. Lineage: Eukaryota; Metazoa; Arthropoda; Arachnida; Araneae; Eresidae. The record is from Rfam.